GAAAUGGUCCAAGUGACAAGGGCGGCACCCAGAUAAUAUCUUUUGGGAUUUACGGCUCUCACCCGUAAGGCCCGGGUUCGAUUCCCGGCAACGGAACCA
Molecule: non-coding RNA, 99 nt
Organism: Parelaphostrongylus tenuis
Lineage: Eukaryota; Metazoa; Nematoda; Chromadorea; Rhabditida; Metastrongylidae
Source: the annotation of a GenBank genome assembly